Molecule: long non-coding RNA, 322 nt
Filed under: Saimiri boliviensis boliviensis (Bolivian squirrel monkey)
Lineage: Eukaryota; Metazoa; Chordata; Mammalia; Primates; Cebidae
Description: lncRNA (ENSSBOG00000036779.1)
Source: RNAcentral
AACCCCAGGGACUGAGUCACUGCCCGCUUUGUUCCCACAGGCCCACAACCUUCACACUUGCAGCUCUGGGCUCCAGCACCUAAUUCCUUCAGUCUCUGCCUUCAAAACACAAAGGUCUCAGGAGGAACAUGGAAGAAACAGAGAUACUUUCAGUGGAACAGAAUAAACCACUGAACAGGUUCUUUCUACCAGUCUCUAAGCUCCCUGCUGAUAUUCCCAUGCCCACUGACGUCUGCACUUGGAUGUCUCGUUGGCACCUCCUGUCCAAGAAGUUCCACAUUGAUCCAGGUACCCAAGCUUGAAACCUGUGACUUACUGAUCC